CUCGUAGGCGGCCAACUAAGUCAGACGUGAAAUCCCUCAGCUUAACUGGGGAACUGCGUCUGAUACUGGAUGGCUUGGAUUCGGGAGAGGAAUGCGGAAUUCCAGGUGUAGCGGUGAAAUGCGUAGAUAUCUGGAGGAACACCGGUGGCGAAGGCGGCAUUCUGGACCGAUAUUGACGCUGAGGAGCGAAAAGGCCAGGGGGAGCAAACG
Molecule: ribosomal RNA, 210 nt
Filed under: uncultured bacterium
Lineage: Bacteria
Description: partial 16S ribosomal RNA
Rfam family: Bacterial small subunit ribosomal RNA
Source: RNAcentral